RNAcentral lists this ribosomal RNA (439 nucleotides) under uncultured bacterium. RNAcentral describes it as "bacterial SSU rRNA". It matches the Rfam family "Bacterial small subunit ribosomal RNA", at positions 958 to 1397 of the family's 1533-position model. The record is from RNAcentral.
AACGCGAAGAACCUUACCCGGGCUCGAAAUGUAGAGAACGCUAGCAGAAAUGUUAGUUCCCGAAAGGGGCUCUAUAUAGGUGCUGCAUGGCUGUCGUCAGCUCGUGCCGUGAGGUGUUUGGUUAAGUCCAGCAACGAGCGCAACCCUUAUUGUCAGUUGCCAACGCGUAAAGGCGGGGACUCUGGCAAGACUGCCUAGGUUAACUAGGAGGAAGGUGAGGAUGACGUCAAGUCCGCAUGGCCUUUAUGUCCGGGGCUACACACGUGCUACAAUGGUCGGUACAGAAGGCAGCGAAACCGUGAGGUGGAGCUAAUCCGCAAAGCCGAUCUCAGUUCAGAUUGCAGACUGCAACUCGUCUGCAUGAAGUUGGAAUUGCUAGUAAUGACGUGUCAGCAACAGCGUCGUGAAUACGUUCCCGGGCCUUGUACACACCGGCUAC